CCAGGCUGGUCUUGAACUCGUGACCUCGUGAUCUACCCACCUUGGCCUCCCAGUGCUGGGAUUACAAUCAUGAGCCACCACGCCUGGCCGAAGUUAAAUAACUUCUACAACAGGCGUGAAUUUUACAGUCCCAAAACCCAGAUGUGCAAACAUAAAACCCCCUUUUUUUUUAAAAACUGACUUAGAUCACAAGACCCACUUCCACAAAUGGAAAAAUAUCUUACUGCCAAUUCAAGGAAAACGCAGACAUUUCUGGGAUUUCUUUCUUAGUUUCUUUGGGUAAAUAGGAAGUCAAUAUGGAAUUCAUACUCUCUCUUAUUUCCUUCUGUUCUCUCCAUCACUCCCUAAAUCUGGGGGCAACAGGUACAGCAGCUUGAGCUGCAGAAAAGAAAGAAAGGAUUCUCUCAGUUCUCUCAAGGAGACUGUCUAGAACAGCAGACUGUUCUAAUCUUGAUUACAAAUAAUCAAGUAAAUGCCCAAUUGUAAUAUAGUGUUUUCGUCUCCUAUUCCAAGCAAGUAGCCAGGCUAAUUGCCGCCUUACUUCAGGGAAGUCUGUGGCAGAAGCUUGAAAGCAAAUGACCUACUACACCUGCUUGUGUCCUGGUCUUCAAGAGCUUGGGUUCCUGAAGUGGAUUAUGCUGGAGGAACACAGGUAGAAGCAGAAGUAACAAAGGAGAGAAGGAGACUGCCCUACUGCCCUAUACCAGGAAGGUGUGGUGGUUUCCACAAUCAUCAAGGGGCCUGUGUCCUACUUCUAGCAGAACCUGGGGAAGAAGACAAGGAUUCUGCGGAGCCUAACUGUGUGGUGAAGCUAGGGAGGCUGUACCCUUGGCAACAGGGCUUCCAUUGUGAAGAAAGAUGCCUGCAGGCCAAGAAGAGCAGAGAAACAGAGUCACUGCCAUUCAACAGUUCAUGACAACUUCAACAAUAGGGCCACCAUAAUGAGCCAAAAAUUAGGAGCAAUUCUCCUGUGUUUUAAGGAACCACAAAGUCUCUGAGAGACUGAAGAAGAGAGAACACCCAAAUGACAAAUUAAAUUUACCUCCAGCAAGGUGGGAUUAAGGCUCACAGAAAUAUCCAGCACACUCUCCUCACAUCUACUGGGGUCCAAGGCCUCAACAGCACAGUCUCCUCAACCUGCUGCUCCAGACAUUUCGCUUUUCUUCCUCUGCUUGAAUCCUACAAUCGCAAUGCUUUCCUGCCUCUGUGUUUGCUUGGAAUUUUUUGUCCUUUGGCAAUUUAAUGCUUGUAUUCAUCCAUUUAAUAAUAAGUGCCCAUCUUUUCUAUCUUCAAAUACUUGCCCUUCAUAAGGUUCUCCCUGACCCCUCUGAAAAGCCAUAAUUUCCUCCUUUACAUCUCCAAGUUUUGUACUUCUCUUGGGACAUUUACCCUGUACUACUUUUUGUUAUCAUUUCACAUCUGCUCCUCCCAACAUCUUAAACAUUUAUUGAACAUCUACUAAGCAUCCUAAAGACAGUGACUGUUUCCCAAGUACCUAGCAUAACACCAUAUGCCAUUGACCUUAGGACACUAAACUGAACAGAGCACAGAGCCUGUCCUCAAAGUUCUCAAAGUCUAUGUAUCAUGCUCAGGGAUCACAGGAUUGUAUGUAGUAACUUCUCAGCCUUUGUUGAUCUUGAUUGUCAGCACUUUAAAGCUCCAUUCAGCUACUUAUGUAAAAUUUAAGCAAAAUGAGGAAGAUAAUUUCGUUGGAGAGAAAGCUUCUGGAUGCUUCAGAAUAUGCCACCUCACCUGAAUGGUAACCAUUACACUUGUAAAUAAGAUAAAAUAGCAAGAAAAAUAUAAACAUAUGCUUUGAUUAUUUCCUUUUUGAAAAUCAAUAAGAUCAUUUUUAUUUUCAAAGAAAAUGUGCAAAUAAAAAUAUUGUUACCACUUAUUUGAAAUCCAUGAAAAAUGCUGAGGUGAAGGAACUGUUGUCCAAAAACUGCUUUCUCUUCCCGGGCUUACUUCCUUUGCCUUCAUUGUUUUCUGCUGCCACUCCUGCUUUGGAAUUUGCUGUUAUGUGUAAUAAACUCCAUCACAGUGUCUGUGGAUAAA
RNAcentral lists this long non-coding RNA (2058 nucleotides) under Homo sapiens (human). RNAcentral describes it as "HSALNT0329346". Lineage: Eukaryota; Metazoa; Chordata; Mammalia; Primates; Hominidae. The record is from RNAcentral.